RNAcentral lists this ribosomal RNA (424 nucleotides) under Pseudoalteromonas sp. FUC4. RNAcentral describes it as "bacterial SSU rRNA". It matches the Rfam family "Bacterial small subunit ribosomal RNA", at positions 1 to 426 of the family's 1533-position model. The record is from RNAcentral. Lineage: Bacteria; Pseudomonadati; Pseudomonadota; Gammaproteobacteria; Alteromonadales; Pseudoalteromonadaceae.
UUAAUUGAAGAGUUUGAUCAUGGCUCAGAUUGAACGCUGGCGGCAGGCCUAACACAUGCAAGUCGAGCGGUAACAGAAAGUAGCUUGCUACUUUGCUGACGAGCGGCGGACGGGUGAGUAAUGCUUGGGAACAUGCCUUGAGGUGGGGGACAACAGUUGGAAACGACUGCUAAUACCGCAUAAUGUCUAGGGACCAAAGGGGGCUUCGGCUCUCGCCUUUAGAUUGGCCCAAGUGGGAUUAGCUAGUUGGUGAGGUAAUGGCUCACCAAGGCGACGAUCCCUAGCUGGUUUGAGAGGAUGAUCAGCCACACUGGGACUGAGACACGGCCCAGACUCCUACGGGAGGCAGCAGUGGGGAAUAUUGCACAAUGGGCGCAAGCCUGAUGCAGCCAUGCCGCGUGUGUGAAGAAGGCCUUCGGGUUGU